UACGUAGGCAGCAAGCGUUGUUCGGAGUUACUGGGCGUAAAGGGUGUGUAGGCGGUUGUUUAAGGUUGGUGUGAAAUCUCCCGGCUCAACUGGGAGGGUGCGCCGAAUACUGAAUGACUUCGAGUGCGGGAGAGGAAAGUGGAAUUCCUGGUGUAGCGGUGAAAUGCGUAGAUAUCAGGAGGAACACCGGUGGUGUAGACGGCUUUCUGGACCGUAACUGACGCUGAGACACGAAAGCGUGGGUAGCAAACAGG
This 254-nucleotide ribosomal RNA is filed under the name uncultured bacterium. RNAcentral describes it as "partial 16S ribosomal RNA". It matches the Rfam family "Bacterial small subunit ribosomal RNA", at positions 524 to 776 of the family's 1533-position model. The record is from RNAcentral.